Molecule: long non-coding RNA, 368 nt
Filed under: Pogona vitticeps (central bearded dragon)
Lineage: Eukaryota; Metazoa; Chordata; Lepidosauria; Squamata; Agamidae
Description: lncRNA (ENSPVIG00000003730.1)
Source: RNAcentral
UACUUCUGCAAAUAUUAAAGAUUAAUCCAGCACUCGUGAUCGGAGUGCAAGCCUUUAGCUGACCCACAAAGCCCAAAGGAUUAGUUGGGUUUUUGAAACAGAUGCUGAUAUAAUUACACAGGAAGAAACAUGACUUGCCAGUUUGAAAAGACACCUUCAGCAUUACAAUACCAGCAAGGUACCUCCAGCUUUGUGACGGUUUGACAUGGGAGGACUCCUAUAAACAGAAUUGCAACAGUUGAAAAACCAGGCUAGAGCACUGGCAAAAAAGAGGACCUUUAGACUUCAAGAGGAGUGUGCGUACCUCUGAUGGUGUCUUUAAUAGUUGAUUGACCCCAAGUUACAGCAGUAUGAAAUAGAAAGAAAAA